GGCUUUAAAAGGAGCUGCAUCCUACCGUAAUCAUACUGGUGCUUUAAAAGAACCUGCAUCCUACCGGUGCUUUAAAAGGACCUGCAUCCUACCGGUGCUUUAAAAGGACCUGCAUCCUAAUCAUACUGGUGCUUUAAAAGGACCUGCAUCCUACCGUAAUCAUAAUGGUGCUUUAAAAGGACCUGCAUCCUACCGUAAUCAUACUUGUGCUUUAAAAGGUCCUGCAUCCUACCGUAAUCAUAAUGGUGCUUUAAAAGGACCUGCAUCCUACCGUAAUCAUAAUGGUGCUUUAAAAGGACCUGCAUCCUACCGUAAUCAUACUUGUGCUUUAAAAGGACCUGCAUCCCACCGUAAUCAUAAUGGUGCUUUAAAAGGACCUGCAUCCCACCGUAAUCAUAAUGGUGCUUUAAAAGGACCUGCAUCCUACCGGUGCUUUAAAAGGACCUGCAUCCUACCAGUGCUUUAAAAGGACCUGCAUCCUACCGUAAUCAUACUUGUGCUUUAAAAGGUCCUGCAUCCUACCGUAAUCAUAAUGGUGCUUUAAAAGGACCUGCAUCCUACCGUAAUCAUACUGGUGCUUUAAAAGGACCUGCAUCCUACUGUAAUCAUAAUGGUGCUUUAAAAGGACCUGCAUCCUACCGUAAU
Molecule: long non-coding RNA, 645 nt
Organism: Clupea harengus (Atlantic herring)
Lineage: Eukaryota; Metazoa; Chordata; Actinopteri; Clupeiformes; Clupeidae
Source: Ensembl